GUGUCAGCAGCCGCGGUAAUACAGAGGUCCCAAGCGUUGUUCGGAUUCACUGGGCGUAAAGGGUGCGUAGGUGGCGAAGUAAGUCGGAUGUGAAAUCUCCGAGCUCAACUCGGAAACUGCAUUGGAAACUACUUUGCUCGAGGGUUGGAGGGGGGACUGGAAUACUUGGUGUAGCAGUGAAAUGCGUAGAUAUCAAGUGGAACACCAGUGGCGAAGGCGAGUCCCUGGACAACUCCUGACACUGAGGCACGAAAGCUAGGGGAGCAAACAGGAUUAGAAACCCCAGUAGUCC
Molecule: ribosomal RNA, 292 nt
Filed under: uncultured bacterium
Lineage: Bacteria
Description: partial 16S ribosomal RNA
Rfam family: Bacterial small subunit ribosomal RNA
Source: RNAcentral